This 1081-nucleotide long non-coding RNA is filed under the name Cyanistes caeruleus (blue tit). Its description in RNAcentral is "lncRNA (ENSCCEG00000016760.1)". The record is from RNAcentral. Lineage: Eukaryota; Metazoa; Chordata; Aves; Passeriformes; Paridae.
AUGUUCUUGCUGCAGCAGCUUCUGUGCCCUGGGAGUCUCACAAACAUGUGGAGCCUUGUUGAAAAUUUAUUUAAGCAUCACACAGGGCUCCAUUAUACCAGUUCUGUAAUGAAGCUGGGUCUACAGAGAGAAAUCCUAUCCUUGCUGGACUUGAAGGAGCCUCUGGGUGGGCAGCAUCUUCACCUCAGGGCAUACUGGAUCAAAUGUGGGUGUCUCUUCCUAGCCUCAGCCAAUUCCUUUCCAAGAAGUACCUGUGGAAAUGUCACAGAUCAGACUGGAGGAGGCAGUCAAGAUUAGGCAUCUGCAUUGCUACUUUGAGCAUAUGGACUAAUUUGGAAACCAAACUGUUAAGACACAAAACCACUAGUAUUCUGGCUUGUGGAAAUAGUGAUGUAAGCGGAGGGAAACUAAAUUAAACUGUUAUCUCUUUGACACUGACAUAAGAAAUAAGUGAGCUCUGUUAAUUUACUCAUGUCAUGAAUGGCUGUAAUCUUGUCUCUAGUUGGCAUCGUCUCUGCAUAGUUACUGACGUAAAUGUAAUUUUGUGUUUAAUUAUGAUCUUACAGGCAAUCACUGGAAAAAUGUAUAAUAUCAAAUCAAAAUAUCUCUUUUAUCUUUUUUUUCCCCACCAACUGACAAUUUCUUUAUGAAUUUUUAUCUGGUUCUUCCUCUACAUUGAAGAAAUUGAUGUCAUUCUUAAAUUGUCUGUCUGCCUUCUGUGAUGAGAAGUAACCUAGAGAUACCUAUAAUGCUAUCAAAUGAGACUUACCAACUUCAUAUCAUUCUACUGAAAGCAUGUAUUUUGCCACUAAUGCUUUUUACCUACUUAAUGCCAAAAUCCUCUAUUUUAUUAAAAAUUGGUUUCUGUUGUAUCUUGUAUUUUAAUCAAGACCAAUAGGAAAUAUUUUCACUGAUCUUGGAACUGAGAAAAUCAGAUACAGCAGUGGGAAUAUAAGGGGAAAUAGCCUGAAAGUCAUCACUAUUGAAAGUGAAAGCCUAGUUUCCUUAAAUUCUGUGACCCGCUGAAAUUGUAUGAUCCGAGGUGAAUAAACGAGACUCUGCUAUAUAUAUCCUGUGGAAC